RNAcentral lists this unclassified non-coding RNA (372 nucleotides) under Hevea brasiliensis (rubber tree). The record is from RNAcentral. Lineage: Eukaryota; Viridiplantae; Streptophyta; Magnoliopsida; Malpighiales; Euphorbiaceae.
AGUCCUUAUACACGAGGCAAGUAACAAAAUUCUAUUGUAUUUAAUUGGUCAUCUUUCCAAGAAAGCUUAUGCAAUAUCUUAAAAUUCUAUGGGUUGGACAUUGAUCUGUAACUGGUAAAUGAUGACAAUAAAGCUUUCAUUACGCGGGUUUCCUUUUCCCUCUGACAUAGCCCUGCUUGCAUACACAUUAAGAAAUGUAAAGGUCUGUAUUUGAUUCAACGGUCUAGUUGGCCCAUCUAUCUUGGCUGUGUGCUGAGCUCACUAGUCACUAAUGGUCAUUCUGAACUCCGAAUAUUGUUUGGUUUUGAGGGAAAGAAAAUAAUAUGGUGCGACUGAACGGUUUUGGGUGUCUUGCAGGCAACUUUUGAGGAU